UAGGGAAUCUUCGGCAAUGGACGGAAGUCUGACCGAGCAACGCCGCGGGAGUGAAGAAGGUUUUCGGAUCGUAAAGCUCUGUUGUUAGAGAAGAACGAUGGUAGGAGUGGAAAAUCUACCAAGUGACGGUAACUAACCAGAAAGGGACGGCUAACUACGUGCCAGCAGCCGCGGUAAUACGUAGGUCCCGAGCGUUGUCCGGAUUUAUUGGGCGUAAAGCGAGCGCAGGCGGUUCUUUAAGUCUGAAGUUAAAGGCAGUGGCUUAACCAUUGUACGCUUUGGAAACUGGAGUACUUGAGUGCAGAAGGGGCGAGUGGAAUUCCAUGUGUAGCGGUGAAAUGCGUAGCUAUAUGGAGGAACACCGGUGGCGAAAGCGGCUCUCUGGUCUGUAACUGACGCUGAGGCUCGAAAGCGUGGGGAGCAAACAGG
This 429-nucleotide ribosomal RNA is filed under the name Bacillota bacterium. RNAcentral's name for it is "Firmicutes bacterium partial 16S ribosomal RNA". It matches the Rfam family "Bacterial small subunit ribosomal RNA", at positions 355 to 776 of the family's 1533-position model. The record is from RNAcentral. Lineage: Bacteria; Bacillati; Bacillota.